UUGCUCUUCAACGAGGAAUGCCUAGUAAGCGCAUGUCAUCAGCAUGCGUUGAUUACGUCCCUGCCCUUUGUACACACCGCCCGUCGCUACUACCGAUUGAAUGGCUCAGUGAGGCCUUCGGACUGGCUUAGGGAGGUUGGCAACGACCACCCCGAGCCGGAAAGUUCGUCAAACUCGGUCAUUUAGAGGAAGUAAAAGUCGUAACAAGGUUUCCGUAGGUGAACCUGCGGAAGGAUCAUUAUCGUAGGGAUUCGUCCCUAUUGAGAUAGCACCCUUUGUUUAUGAGCACCAUUUGUUUCCUCGGCGGGCUUGCCCGCCGCUAGGACCCCCAAAUAAACCUUUGCAGUAGCAGUAUCUUCAGUAAAAAACAAAAUAUUAAAACUUUCAACAACGGAUCUCUUGGUUCUGGCAUCGAUGAAGAACGCAGCGAAAUGCGAUAAGUAGUGUGAAUUGCAGAAUUCAGUGAAUCAUCGAAUCUUUGAACGCACAUUGCGCCCUUCGGUAUUCCGUUGGGCAUGCCUGUUCGAGCGUCAUUUAACCCUUCAAGCUCUGCUUGGUGUUGGGCGUUUGUUCCGCCUCCGCGCGUGGACUCGCCUCAAAUUCAUUGGCAGCCGGUAAGUUGGCUUCGUGCGCAGCACAUUGCGUCGCGACUCCAGCGUGCCUCCUUCCAGCAAGCUCUAUUAUCACUUUGACCUCGGAUCAGGUAGGGAUACCCGCUGAACUUAAGCAUAUCAAUAAGCGGAGGA
This 746-nucleotide ribosomal RNA is filed under the name uncultured fungus. RNAcentral describes it as "eukaryotic LSU rRNA". The stretch from base 1 to 241 matches the Rfam family "Eukaryotic small subunit ribosomal RNA", at positions 1593 to 1831 of the family's 1831-position model. Lineage: Eukaryota; Fungi. The record is from RNAcentral.